This 394-nucleotide ribosomal RNA is filed under the name uncultured bacterium. RNAcentral describes it as "bacterial SSU rRNA". It matches the Rfam family "Bacterial small subunit ribosomal RNA", at positions 335 to 721 of the family's 1533-position model. The record is from RNAcentral.
ACUCCUACGGGAGGCAGCAGUGGGGAAUAUUGCACAAUGGGCGCAAGCCUGAUGCAGCCAUGCCGCGUGUGUGAAGAAGGCCUUCGGGUUGUAAAGCACUUUCAGUUGUGAGGAAGGUGGUGUCGUUAAUAGCGGCAUCAUUUGACGUUAGCAACAGAAGAAGCACCGGCUAACUCCGUGCCAACAGCCGCGGUAAUACGGAGGGUGCGAGCGUUAAUCGGAAUUACUGGGCGUAAAGCGCAUGCAGGUGGUUUGUUAAGUCAGAUGUGAAAGCCCGGGGCUCAACCUCGGAACUGCAUUUGAAACUGGCAGACUAGAGUACUGUAGAGGGGGUAGAAUUUCAGGUGUAGCGGUGAAAUGCGUAGAGAUCUGAAGGAAUACCGGUGGCGAACGG